Molecule: ribosomal RNA, 484 nt
Filed under: uncultured bacterium
Lineage: Bacteria
Description: partial 16S ribosomal RNA
Rfam family: Bacterial small subunit ribosomal RNA
Source: RNAcentral
AUUGAACGCUGGCGGCAGGCCUAACACAUGCAAGUCGAGCGGAUGAAGGGAGCUUGCUCCUGGAUUCAGCGGCGGACGGGUGAGUAAUGCCUAGGAAUCUGCCUGGUAGUGGGGGAUAACGUCCGGAAACGGGCGCUAAUACCGCAUACGUCCUGAGGGAGAAAGUGGGGGAUCUUCGGACCUCACGCUAUCAGAUGAGCCUAGGUCGGAUUAGCUAGUUGGUGGGGUAAAGGCCUACCAAGGCGACGAUCCGUAACUGGUCUGAGAGGAUGAUCAGUCACACUGGAACUGAGACACGGUCCAGACUCCUACGGGAGGCAGCAGUGGGGAAUAUUGGACAAUGGGCGAAAGCCUGAUCCAGCCAUGCAGCGUGUGUGAAGAAGGUCUUCGGAUUGUAAAGCACUUUAAGUUGGGAGGAAGGGCAGUAAGUUAAUACCUUGCUGUUUUGACGUUACCAACAGAAUAAGCACCGGCUAACUUCGUG